AAUUGCAUAAGAAGUUGAAUCAGCACAGAGAAAGAAGAUUGGGAAAGAGUUUUUUGGCAGAGAGUGCAUCAAACUACAAACCAAUUAAACCCAUUAAAGUUGCAGAUGUGAAGACAGAGUUUAAAAGCAAUAAAGCAUUGGGUGAUGGUCCGAUCACCGGCGGAGUCAGAAGGGACCAUUUCUGUUCAAAAAUCAAAAUGGGGAGCAACAACAAUAGCAAUGGUUUCAAUUCUUUAUUUCAACGGGAGAAAGAGAGAGAGAGAGAGACCUUGGCAGUAGGUGGGUUUGGCGCUGGUGGGUGCGACUGGGGGAGGCAAUUUUCUCGAAGGGGUGCACCGAUUGUCACCGGAGGUGGUGGUUGGCGGGUACUGGGAGUGGUGGUGGUCGUCCCUGGCGGUGGGUGGCUCGGUGGUGGUCGGCGAUCGUUCCUCCUCCUCCUCUCUCUCUCUCUCUCUCUCUCUCUCUCUCUCUCUCUCUCUCUCUCUCUCUCUCUCUCUCAUCCGGCGUAUAUACGUGCGUGUGGGUUGUGUAGGAAACCUAAUCUGGCUACGUGGCCGCAUGUGGUCCACAUGUGGCCUUCAAGGCAAAAUUACAUUUAUGGGCAGCCAAGCAAAACUGAAUGGGCAGCAAUUGAGGGGUAAAUUGGUCCAAAUUGCCCAAAUGUGGCAGGCCGAAAACCUUUUAUUAUAUAAGGGAGGAAAAAUGAACUCCAAUUAUACAAGUAGACGAAACAACCCAAGUUUCACAGCCCUCAGAACAAAAAGACACAAGUAAUAUACAAGUCCAAAACAACCCAUUCUACCUUCUCCUUGAGAAAUCAAUACAAGACUUACAAUCUCUAUAAGCCCACCCCAUCAUACCACUAGAAAUUGCCCGUGCCUUCAAUUGCCCGUGCACAACACGUUUUUUAACACGACUAAAAUGAAUUAACUUCUAAAAUCUGAAAUCUGAGGAGUGCAAUUGUGCCCCUACUUGAAGGCACCAAUUCAAAAACAUUUGACAUAAAAUAAUGAAAAACUUUCAUGCACCCUCAACACAAAAGCUACUUAAUCUCAAUAAAAGAUAUUACCCAAGGAAUCAAACCAAAUGCAAAAUUGUUAAAAAAAAAUUAGGGAGCCUUUAUUCAAGAUUACAUCAACAAAACUGCUAUUUUUUUCAGUAAACGUGUCAACAAAUUUGUACAUUCAAGGAAACACAGUAAGAACACAAACAGUGAUCAAAGCAAACACCAAAGUUAUAAUGAAGCUUCCUCCUUCAUUUUCAAAGCACCAAUUUAAUCACUUUCGUAGCCAAAAUAACUAUUUUCCUUGAAACAGCCUGAAGCCAAAAUAAAAUUCCAAUUGACUGAAGUCAAAGAUAAAUUAAAAAGACGCAAAUCUACAUCAAAGAACCACAAGUGAUCAACUAAGUUUCCUUUUUUUUUUUUUUUUUGAUAAGCAACGUACUAACUUAUAAAAUAAUCCUAGAGAAGCAAAAACUAAAUAGGCAAAAAAAAAAAAAUAGUAACUUGAUAUGGAACAAAACCUUCCGUUUUUACUUACCAAUUGCUCCCCUACGCAUGAGUUGACACCUCCCAAGUAACCGAGUUUCUUUAAAGAUCUAACAUCAAACAUCAAGAUGUUAGAGAACCAACAAAGCCAAGAUUAGAGGUAUAAGAUAUUCUAUACAUGCACAAUUU
This is a long non-coding RNA of Rhododendron vialii, 1678 nucleotides long. RefSeq lists it as uncharacterized. The transcript is spliced from 2 exons. NCBI's taxonomy places the organism in Eukaryota, Viridiplantae, Streptophyta, Magnoliopsida, Ericales, Ericaceae. The record is from RefSeq and is a predicted model, not a curated record.